Etheostoma spectabile (orangethroat darter) is the source of this 143-nucleotide long non-coding RNA. RefSeq lists it as uncharacterized. Lineage: Eukaryota; Metazoa; Chordata; Actinopteri; Perciformes; Percidae. The record is from RefSeq and is a predicted model, not a curated record. The transcript has 3 exons.
AUAGAUAGUUAGAUAGACGAUAGAUAGAGAUCCUAACAAAGGGAAAUUACUGUUACAGCAGCAAAAUAUCAGACAAACAGCACACAUACAGAAUAUGCAUUAAAUAAUAGGAUACAAUAUACAGUAACGAAUUAAAUAUUACA